Molecule: long non-coding RNA, 856 nt
Filed under: Sorghum bicolor (sorghum)
Lineage: Eukaryota; Viridiplantae; Streptophyta; Magnoliopsida; Poales; Poaceae
Description: long non-coding RNA (SBIC_LNC016279)
Source: RNAcentral
CAUAAUGACCUCUCCAUAUUUAGCUGUAAUUAGUUAAGAACAAUGUAGGUCAAGCUAAGAACAAAACUAAUAUAACCUCUUAAAACAGUCAUAACUAAGAUACUAACCUCCUUCAAUUAAACGGAGAUGAAAACCUAGCCCUUACAGAGUUUACAAUUUUAUAGAAUUUAAAUAAUUGUUUAAACUCAUUUCCAUAAUUAUAAGAAACAAUUGAAUAAAAUUUAUGAAUAUAGAAGGAUUUCUAUGAUAAUCUUUACUUUUAAAUCAAACAUGCCUUAAUAUAACCAUACUUCAUAAAUUUACUCACAAAGAUUUUGAAAAGUAUUCAUUUGCCAUUUAUGAUUUUAAGCAAUUUAAUGUAUGAAUUUAUAAUGUCUUAUUCAUUUGAAAAAACAAAAACUAAAACUCAUCAAAAAAAAUAUAAACUUCAAAAUGUGCUCAUCAUUACUCUAUUGCAUAGAUCUACUCAUAAGAAUUCUAAAAAGUAUUUAUUUUCUAUUUUUUGAAUUUUAUACAAUUUACUAUGAAUUUACAUAAAAAUUUAGCUAAAACUCUCUCUCUUGCCCUAUGAACCCUAACCCUAGUCCUAAGCAAGAAUGCAUGAUGAACCCUAGAUCUAGAGCACCUCUAGUACAAGAAUUGAACCAAAAAAUCACUAAAAAAUAGCAUCAAGCUAGGGCACUAACUAACCUUUUGGAACUUUCUCACCAAAGAAAUGAAGAUCAAAACCUCCCCCUUAGAAAUUGUUCUUGUCUGGUCCGCCACCGUACACAACUCACGGGAGUAACUGUUCUUGUCUGGAGGUGGACGAAGGGUAUUUAUAACAAGAUUAACACAAGCGGUUUAUAAAGAGGGC